This is a non-coding RNA of Delphinapterus leucas (beluga whale), 234 nucleotides long. The record is from RefSeq and is a predicted model, not a curated record. NCBI's taxonomy places the organism in Eukaryota, Metazoa, Chordata, Mammalia, Artiodactyla, Monodontidae.
AGGGUGGCUGUAGGAAGACAUGAUACAGCAUGUGGCACUUGCUUAGUACACAGUUGGCGCUCAGAAACACUGUGAAGCCUGAACUACUACCAUAAAGGGAGAGCCUUGAUUUCCUGUGUAGAAGCUGAGAAUGAAGUUGGCAUUAAGAAAAGCAGCUGAAAGAUGGAGGGGAAAAUGUCUUCGGUGAAAGUGUUUGAAACCUGGAUCAAGCCUUACCUGAGGGGACACAGGUUC